RNAcentral lists this ribosomal RNA (301 nucleotides) under uncultured bacterium. RNAcentral's name for it is "partial 16S ribosomal RNA". It matches the Rfam family "Bacterial small subunit ribosomal RNA", at positions 509 to 807 of the family's 1533-position model. The record is from RNAcentral.
CAGUAGCCACGGUAAUACGUAGGGUGCGAGCGUUAAUCGGAAUUACUGGGCGUAAAGCGUGCGCAGGCGGUUUUGUAAGACAGGCGUGAAAUCCCCGGGCUCAACCUGGGAAUGGCGCUUGUGACUGCAAAGCUAGAGUGCGGCAGAGGGGGAUGGAAUUCCGCGUGUAGCAGUGAAAUGCGUAGAUAUGCGGAGGAACACCGAUGGCGAAGGCAAUCCCCUGGGCCUGCACUGACGCUCAUGCACGAAAGCGUGGGGAGCAAACAGGAUUAGAUACCCGAGUAGUCCCUGUCUCUUAUAC